Long non-coding RNA from Hevea brasiliensis (rubber tree), 294 nucleotides. RefSeq lists it as uncharacterized. The transcript has 3 exons. Lineage: Eukaryota; Viridiplantae; Streptophyta; Magnoliopsida; Malpighiales; Euphorbiaceae. The record is from RefSeq and is a predicted model, not a curated record.
UGCCUCUUUAGAGUUUUAUUUUGAGUUAGUACUAAUAAAUUUAUAAUUUAAUUAUUAGGUGAUCGAGAUCAACUAUUUUCCUGCAUCCAGCAGCCACAAUAGUCGACGGUGUACUGUGAUCGAGAUCAACUAUUUUUCUGCAUCCAGCAGCCACAAUAGUCGACGGUGUACUGCCACAGGAGGAGUUAUUUUACAAAGCAACCUGUUUUCUUCCUCGCAGGUUUAACGUCGAUUAUUUAAUUGUUGCACUAUCUUUUCUAAAUUUAAAAUCUAGAACUCCGCAUGUGUUAGUAA